RNAcentral lists this long non-coding RNA (812 nucleotides) under Dicentrarchus labrax (European seabass). RNAcentral's name for it is "lncRNA (ENSDLAG00005032649.1)". The record is from RNAcentral. Lineage: Eukaryota; Metazoa; Chordata; Actinopteri; Moronidae.
GUUUUGUGUAUCAAAUCAUGGUUAUUAAUUUUAUAUUAGUUUUACAGAUUUAACAUGAUGACCUACCAACAUUAACAUAUUUCAGACAAUUGAGUCAAGAAACUGGCACCAUAAAAAAGCCUUUUGAAAUUAUGUGUGGAGUGUGACUGCAUGUAAAGGGAUGCAUGGAUGGUCUGUCCCGAAUCGGAACCAGUGACGCAUGUUCAUGAAAAGAAACCAUAUUGAUCAUUUUAUUAUCUAUUACUAUCUAUUAUUUAUCUUUUAAUGCAACUGUCUUUUAGAAACCUUUCCCAGUCACUAAAUCCUGGCAACUGGACAGAGAAAACUGGAUUACAAAUUCAGGGUUUUCCUAUGACAACCGUACGGGAUUGACUGUGGCAUCUUCAUGUUGAUGAAUGCCCUUUACAUCACACUGGAUGCUCCCUAUGACUUUUCUAUUGUAAGUUGAUUCAUGCAAUCAAAGUAAGCUCAAAAUUACAACAACAAAACAUUUAUUAUGACAUAGUGUGAGUUUUUUUUUCUUUUUGUUUAUUUAUUUUUUUCAGAUGGACAUGCCACUUUUGCGACAGUGGUGGUGUAUCAUCCUUAUGGAAAAUUUUGACCUUGGAAGCCAUGGAAAGCUGUUCGCCCACUGGACAGAUGCAUCAAAAGCCCUCCUGCGAAGUGAGGUGCCACCAGUAUUUAGGCUGAUGAAAAGGAAGGUGGAUGACACAACUGAGGAAGAAGAGCAGCAGGCUGAGGUCUCCGUCAGACCUGCCGACGUGGACACACAAGUGGAAGGGGUAAGCUUUUUCACAGUAUCUAUUGGUCAG